CCGGUGCCCGGCCUCGCCGCGGCUGCCGGCGCGCUGCUGGCCUCCGGCGCUCGCCCUCCUCCGCCUCUCCCGUGCGCCCGGUGCCCUGCGCAGGCAGGUGUCCUGCGUCCCUUCCCCUGCCCGGCCUGCGUGCAUCUUCUGCCGGGGUGAAACCCUGCGUCUGCAGGCUGCUGCGUUCAGGGCACGCGCCAGCGUGUGCCUCUGUCCUGCUGCCUAACGUCCACCAUAUACCACAGCCGUUUGGGGCUUGUGUCUGUUUUGGAGUCAGCCAUUGUUUAUUCUCUGCAACAACAUUAUGCCCCUGGUGUCCAGCUGCAAACCUGCUUUAAAAGAGAUGCAUGAGAAAAUACAUAUGAGGGUGAUGUCACUGUCCUGUUCCAGGCAAAAGAAUUCUGGGGAAGUACUAGACUCUUGUAUUCUCUGACUAGAUCUCUGUAAGCAUAGCUACUGAGCUGCUAAUCAGAUACAUUCUUCAGGAGUUUGCUCCCUAGGAGUCUGACUUUUUAUUUUUAUUUACUUUUUAAUAUCAUCUAACUAGGUUGAAGCACAUUCCAUGGACAACUGCACUAUUGGUAUCUUGGGGUCUUUUUUGAAACAGCAUCUUGUAAAUUUUUAAGUACAAAAAUUCUGAUUUAGGAAUUGAUACUGUUAAGAUACAUCCUGCUAUAAAAAUACUCUUUUGAUCUGAAUAUUGUGCAUGUUUUUAGAAAAGUACAGUGUACAGUAACAGUAUAACAGAACUCUUAAUGAUAUCCUAAUUAUUUACAAAUGUUAAGUUUCAGGAAAUACUUUUUUCAGAUCAUGUAUAUUUAAUUUAUUAAAAUUUGAUUAUAUACUGGCACACAAAGCUUUCAGAAUUUAAUUUUGCCUUUUUAAGUCAACCAGAAGGAGUAUAGAAAUGAAUAUUCAGAUGUGACAAGAUCUUAUAUUUACUUUGUCUAUUCAUUGGUGAAAUAUUAGUGGCUGUUUGGAAUUGUACUGUUUGCCCAUGCUUCUGAUCCAGCAUGCUGCCUAAGUUUUUAGGCUUUGUAUACUAUAGCCUGUUGAUCUUCAUCCUCAGUGUUGUUAACUGUUGAUCUUACUAAUAUUUUUUCUCUGAGCAUCUGGAUCACUGUAUUUUUGCAUAACUUAAUGUAGAAAUUGAACCUGACCUUUCUCCCUCCCAUGUUUACAAACAAUUGCUCUUUCUGGUUAUCCUAUUGCAAUAUUAGCUAUGAUUUUCAGCCCUUUAUGGAGGAAGGAGGUAAAAAACUCAUCUCUUGUGGGUAGUUUGAAAAAAGUGAAAAUCUUGUUCUUUAAAGUGCUAAGCAUCUUAAAAUAUGAAUUUGU
This 1329-nucleotide long non-coding RNA is filed under the name Apteryx rowi (Okarito brown kiwi). Its description in RNAcentral is "lncRNA (ENSARWG00000009160.1)". The record is from RNAcentral. Lineage: Eukaryota; Metazoa; Chordata; Aves; Apterygiformes; Apterygidae.